UACGGAGGGUGCAAGCGUUGUCCGGAUUUAUUGGGUUUAAAGGGUGCGUAGGCGGCUUGAUAAGUCCGUGGUGAAAGCCAACAGCUCAACUGUUGAACUGCCAUGGAUACUGUCAGGCUUGAGUACAGACGAGGUAGGCGGAAUGGAUCGUGUAGCGGUGAAAUGCAUAGAUACGAUCCAGAACCCCGAUUGCGUAGGCAGCUUACUAGGCUGUAACUGACGCUGAGGCACGAAAGCGUGGGGAGCGAACAGG
This 253-nucleotide ribosomal RNA is filed under the name uncultured bacterium. Its description in RNAcentral is "partial 16S ribosomal RNA". It matches the Rfam family "Bacterial small subunit ribosomal RNA", at positions 524 to 776 of the family's 1533-position model. The record is from RNAcentral.